UCAGGUGAGAUGCUCGAGUUUCAAAACAAAACAGUCUGCGGUUUUGAGAAGCGAUUUUCAGGAUGUAUGUGUGUUUCAGGGGCCAUCUGCACCUUGAAAGCAUACAAUGGAAGGAUGAUGGAAUAUACGAAGCUGUUGAAAUUUCAGGGUGAAGUCGAGCACAUUUCUCUAAUGAAGCCAAAGAUUUGUAUUUUCAGCAUUAUUGUAAUUGUAACUGUAAUUGAUUGAAUGAAUUGGAUUGUAAUUGAUUGUAAUUGUAAUUGAUUGAAUGAAGGAUUGUAAUUGAAUGAA
Long non-coding RNA from Magnolia sinica, 291 nucleotides. RefSeq lists it as uncharacterized. The record is from RefSeq and is a predicted model, not a curated record. The transcript is spliced from 2 exons. NCBI's taxonomy places the organism in Eukaryota, Viridiplantae, Streptophyta, Magnoliopsida, Magnoliales, Magnoliaceae.